GGUUAACGCUGGCGGCGUGCGUAACACAUGCAAGUCGAACGGGCCAUUACUCUUCGGAGUGAUGGUUAGUGGCGAACGGGUGAGUAAAAGGUAGGGACCUACUCUGAGGACAGAGAUAGCUACUGGAAACGGUAGGUAAACUCUGAUAAGCCCGAGAGGGGAAAGUGGAAAGCAGCCUUGGGAUGGACCUACUAUCCAUCAGGUAGUUGGUGAGGUAAAGGCUCACCAAGCCGGUGACGGAUAACCGGUGUGAGAGCAUGGACGGUCACAAGGGCACUGAGACACGGGCCCUACUCCUACGGGAGGCAGCAGUGGGGAAUAUUGGACAAUGGGCGAAAGCCUGAUCCAGCGACGCCGCGUGAAGGAAGGAGUCCUUCGGGAUGUAAACUUCUGAACUAAUCGAAUAAAAGGGUAGUGGACACACUACAGAAGAAGGUAGAUUGGGAAAAGUCCCGGCUAACUACGUG
Molecule: ribosomal RNA, 467 nt
Filed under: uncultured bacterium
Lineage: Bacteria
Description: bacterial SSU rRNA
Rfam family: Bacterial small subunit ribosomal RNA
Source: RNAcentral